RNAcentral lists this ribosomal RNA (468 nucleotides) under uncultured bacterium. Its description in RNAcentral is "partial 16S ribosomal RNA". It matches the Rfam family "Bacterial small subunit ribosomal RNA", at positions 28 to 507 of the family's 1533-position model. The record is from RNAcentral.
GAUGAACGCUGGCGGCGUGCUUAACACAUGCAAGUCGAACGGUGAAGGCGGAGCUUGCUCUGCUGGAUCAGUGGCGAACGGGUGAGUAACACGUGAGCAGUCUGCCCCUGACUCUGGGAUAAGCGCUGGAAACGGCGUCUAAUACUGGAUACGAGCUGCGAAGGCAUCUUCAGCAGCUGGAAAGAAUUUCGGUCAGGGAUGAGCUCGCGGCCUAUCAGCUUGUUGGUGAGGUAAUGGCUCACCAAGGCGUCGACGGGUAGCCGGCCUGAGAGGGUGACCGGCCACACUGGGACUGAGACACGGCCCAGACUCCUACGGGAGGCAGCAGUGGGGAAUAUUGCACAAUGGGCGAAAGCCUGAUGCGGCAACGCCGCGUGAGGGACGACGGCCUUCGGGUUGUAAACCUCUUUUAGCAGGGAAGAAGCGAAAGUGACGGUACCUGCAGAAAAAGCGCCGGCUAACUACGUG